This is an RNA transcript of Medicago truncatula (barrel medic), 1256 nucleotides long. RefSeq lists it as uncharacterized. NCBI's taxonomy places the organism in Eukaryota, Viridiplantae, Streptophyta, Magnoliopsida, Fabales, Fabaceae. The record is from RefSeq and is a predicted model, not a curated record. The transcript is spliced from 9 exons.
UAUAAGAGAAGAACAGAAACAAUUACUUGGGUAGUUGAGUGGGACAGUUUCCUAUUAGCAACAAAAGAAGUGAACGUGCUCUACAAACACAGUUUCUUCUAACUUCUAAUUCUCUGAACAAAACAACAAACUCAACCAUGGCUGAAGAAGGUAUGAGGUCCAAUAGCCCACAAAUCCAGAGGAAUUCAGUUGGCUUGUGUGAAAAACCGACAGAUCAAGAGAAGAAAGACAUUAAAGCUGAAUUGAGUAUGAAGGGAUUGCUAUACUGACUACCACCCAAUGAAUCCAACUGAAUUUGAAGGGAUUACAGAAGGUGUUAAUAUCCCGGAGUAUUUUCCUCUUUCAAUCCAUCCAUUCCCGCAUGUGGUUAAGAAUGAUAUGGAAGCAUAUAUGGCAGCUUACCUAUUUAUUGCUGAUGAUGAAAAUCGUCAUGGGGAGGAAAUACUGGCACAAAGUGAACUUGGGUCGUGGGAUACCGGAAAACCCUUAAGACUCUGAUGCCUGAUUCUCCGGUUGACCAAGCGGUCAUUAAUUUAGUGUGUUGUAAACUAACAUACCAACAAAGAUGUGGUGGAACACCAUCUUUGUGGUACCUACUAGCAAAUUUUGCGCAACAUGCACUUGACUGGAUGCACAAUCCUAAGGCUGACAUGGAGUUUUUUCAGAAUGCCUUCAUGGGAAGAAUAGAGGACGUUCGAAAGGUGUGAUGGAAGAAAGCUGCUUAGACAUAGAGAUGUCUUGAUAAUGUCAAUAUUUUUGGAAGAAAUGUUUUUGGAGAAUUCAUAUUAUGAUUGCGGAAUCAAUUUAGAGAAGCGCAUUAUCUCCAAUUUCUCAGUUGUUGAACCCAGAGGACUCCUAAGUCAGAGAUAUGGAUCUAACGACUCCGGAGUCUGGGUUGCUGCUUGGAUGAAAGAAUGUGAUAGGAAAAAUGACUACAACUGUGUAGAAGUUUAUCCAGAUACAAGGGUUAAACUUGCCAUUGAUUUGGUUCAUAGCAUUUACAAUAUAAAGAUGAGUAAAAUCACUGAAAAAGCAUGCGAACACUGGAAGAAUGUGGAAGAAAAAAAGGAUUCAACUCUCAAAUGGUGGAUGGAUCUGCAAAAAAUCACAUGACUUUGCUUUAAUUCGGCACUUCAGCUUGGACUAAUUUAUUUCAAUGUUUUAAUUUGCCAUAUCAGACUAGACAAUUUUAUUUUAUUUUAUUUUGAAAAAUCUAGACAAUUUUAUUUGAAUGGUUUGAUUUGGCAGUUUAGCCU